UUUGUUUUCUGGUGUAUUUAGAUCUGAAAGUAGUAGUGGCCUUAUUCAUAGUAGAAAAGGAGACCCACUAACAGUCACAAUACAGUUACUCAUUUCCUGCAAACUGACUACACUUGAGAGCCUAUAAAAGGCAAGGCCUUCAAAGACCAGGUAACUAUAGUGAUGGAACGUUAUGGAAAAAUUAAAGAGUACAAUGGCGGUGUGAUGGGUUGGCUUCUUCUGAGUGAGCUGGAGAAAUUGGUGGGAAAAAAAUAUGACAAGGGUGAAGAGCAGUUGUUGCAUCUGGCAUCUUCAAUAACCAAGAAACAACACCUUUGGAUUUGGAAGGACACACUGCAUAUCGAACACUAGAGGGCAGCAGCUCCCCAGAGAUGACCCGUGAAGCUGCCCAGUCUCCUGAUUCUCCUCUCCUCUCUCCCGCCACUAGCCCCGCCCCCCAUCCCUUUCAGUCCUGCACCACACCGGAGACUUGCGCAGCGGAAAGAUCCAUGGCUUUGGUAACAGGGAGAUCUGGGCUUAAAUCCCAAUUCUUAUUACCUAUGACCUUGAAUAAGUGACCUAUCCACAGCUGGAAAAAUAAAGCACAAAAA
Long non-coding RNA from Fukomys damarensis (Damara mole-rat), 590 nucleotides. RefSeq lists it as uncharacterized. The record is from RefSeq and is a predicted model, not a curated record. NCBI's taxonomy places the organism in Eukaryota, Metazoa, Chordata, Mammalia, Rodentia, Bathyergidae. The transcript is spliced from 3 exons.